Molecule: ribosomal RNA, 484 nt
Filed under: uncultured bacterium
Lineage: Bacteria
Description: partial 16S ribosomal RNA
Rfam family: Bacterial small subunit ribosomal RNA
Source: RNAcentral
AUUGAACGCUGGCGGCAGGCCUAACACAUGCAAGUCGAGCGGAUGAAGGGAGCUUGCUCCUGGAUUCAGCGGCGGACGGGUGAGUAAUGCCUAGGAAUCUGCCUGGUAGUGGGGGAUAACGUCCGGAAACGGGCGCUAAUACCGCAUACGUCCUGAGGGAGAAAGUGGGGGAUCUUCGGACCUCACGCUAUCAGAUGAGCCUAGGUCGGAGUAGCUAGUUGGUGGGGUAAAGGCCUACCAAGGCGACGAUCCGUAACUGGUCUGAGAGGAUGAUCAGUCACACUGGAACUGAGCCACGGUCCAGACUCCUACGGGAGGCAGCAGUGGGGAAUAUUGGACAAUGGGCGAAAGCCUGAUCCAGCCAUGCCGCGUGUGUGAAGAAGGUCUUCGGAUUGUAAAGCACUUUAAGUUGGGAGGAAGGGCAGUAAGUUAAUACCUUGCUGUUUUGACGUUACCAACAGAAUAAGCACCGGCUAACUUCGUG